CCAUGGCCAUUAAGUUGUUGACAGUGCAUUGAAUACGCUUUCUGAAUAUAAAUCAUACCACACAGACCAAGAAGUAAAUGAAAAAAAAAGGUUUCUUAAAUGGAAAAAACAGUGUAUGUUGACAAAAUACUUGACCAUAGCGCUCAGAGGGUGUCAAAGCUCAAUGCUGAUACACAUAGUGAUAAUCAUCUCAAAUACUUCUGAAUGAAUGUGGGGAUAUAACAGCUUUGUCAUCUUAUGUAGAAACACAUGGUUGGAAGAAUGUAAAACUGGUAAAGCAGAAGGACUACCAUCAAAACCAGCUCCUCAGUCUUGGACAUUUCAGCCUCUAGAACUGUAAGCCAGUUUACAUAAAGGGAAUGAAGAACAUUGACAAGAGAUGAAGUUGAAGGCCAUGGCAAGGAAUUUGAAUAUUAUUCCUCGUUGAAUGG
Long non-coding RNA from Ictidomys tridecemlineatus (thirteen-lined ground squirrel), 431 nucleotides. RefSeq lists it as uncharacterized. NCBI's taxonomy places the organism in Eukaryota, Metazoa, Chordata, Mammalia, Rodentia, Sciuridae. The record is from RefSeq and is a predicted model, not a curated record.